UGGGGAAUAUUGCACAAUGGAGGGAACUCUGAUGCAGCGACGCCGCGUGAGUGAUGAAGGAAUUCGUUUCGUAAAACUCUGUUCUAUGGGAAGAAAAGGACUGUACCAUAGGAGAAAGCUCCGGCUAAAUACGUGCCAGCAGCCGCGGUAAUUCGUAUGGAGCGAGCGUUGUCCGGAAUUAUUGGGCGUAAAGGGUGCGCAGGCGGCUUUACAAGUUGGAUGUGAAAUAUUGUGGCUCAACCACAAACGUGCAUCCAAAACUGCAAAGCUUGAGUUAAGGAGAGGUAAGUGGAAUUCCUGGUGUAGCGGUGGAAUGCGUAGAUAUCAGGAGGAAUACCGGUGGCGAAGGCGACUUACUGGACUUAAACUGACGCUCAGGCACGAAAGCGUGGGGAGCAAACAGG
RNAcentral lists this ribosomal RNA (404 nucleotides) under Fusobacteriota bacterium. RNAcentral describes it as "Fusobacteria bacterium partial 16S ribosomal RNA". It matches the Rfam family "Bacterial small subunit ribosomal RNA", at positions 355 to 776 of the family's 1533-position model. Lineage: Bacteria; Fusobacteriati; Fusobacteriota. The record is from RNAcentral.